UCAAGCAAGAAAGAGCACAGGGCGAAUGCCUUGGCACCAGGAGCCGAUGAAAGACGUGACAAGCUGCGAUAAGCUGCGGUAAGGAGCAAAUAUCCUGUGACCCGCAGAUUUCUGAAUGGGGCAACCCGGCUACACAAGUAGUCACUGUAUGGUAAAUACAUAGCCAUGCAGAGGGAACCCGGGGAACUGAAACAUCUAAGUACCCGGAGGAAGAGAAAACAACAUGUGAUUCCCUGAGUAGCGGCGAGCGGAAGGGGAAGAGCCUAAACCGGAGUGCGUGCACUCUGGGGUAUGGACUGUCAUCACGUAUCAGGAUUGUUAGCAGAACGGUUUUGGGAAAGCCGGCCAUAGAGAGUGAAAGCCUCGUAAGCGAAAACAUGAGAGAGCAGACAGUAUCCGGAGUACCACGGGACACGAGAAACCCUGUGGGAAGGCGGGAGGACCACCUCCCAAGGCUAAAUACUACCUGGUGACCGAUAGAGAAUAGUACCGUGAGGGAAAGGUGAAAAGGACCCCGGGAGGGGAGUGAAAGAGAACCUGAAACCCUGUGUUUACAAGCUGUGGAAGCACGAUUUCGAAUGAAUAGUGCAACCGCGUACUUUUUGUAGAACGGUCCGGCGAGCUGCCGUUGCUGGCAAGGUUAAGGACAUAAAGUCCGGAGCCGAAGGGAAACCGAGUCUUAACAGGGCGAUAUAGUCAGUAGUGGUAGGCCCGAAACCGGGUGAUCUACCCAUGUCCAGGUUGAAGCCGCUGUAAAAGGCGGUGGAGGACCGAACGCACAUCUGUUGAAAAAGGUGGCGAUGAGGUGUGGGUAGCGGAGAAAUUCCAAUCGAACCCGGAGAUAGCUGGUUCUCCCCGAAAUAGCUUUAGGGCUAGCCCUGUCUUAGACCCGUGGAGGUAGAGCACUGAAUAUCCUAGGGGGCGUCAAAGCUUACCGAAGAUUAUCAAACUCCGAAUGCCACAGGGCCGAUGGACGGGAGUCAGACUAGACGAGAUAAGUUGGGUAGUCAAAAGGGAAACAGCCCAGACCGCCAGCUAAGGCCCCAAAGUGUGUGUUAAGUGGAAAAGGAUGUGGGAUUUCGAAGACAGCUAGGAUGUUGGCUCAGAAGCAGCCAUUCAUUAAAAGAGUGCGUAACAGCUCACUAGCCGAGAGGUUCUGCGCCGAAAAUGUCCGGGGCUAAAACACACCGCCGAAGCUGCGGAAUGUAGCAAUACAUUGGUAGGGGAGCAUUCCAUGGACGACGAAGCUGUACCGUAAGGAGCAGUGGAGUGCAUGGAAGGGAGAAUGCCGGAAUGAGUAGCGAGAGUAAGGUGAGAAUCCUUACGGCCGAAUAUCCAAGGUUUCCAGGGUAAAGCUGAUCUGCCCUGGGUAAGUCGGGACCUAAGGCGAGGCUGAGAAGCGUAGUCGAUGGACAACAGGUUGAGAUUCCUGUACCCCGUAUUAUCAGAACUGUGGUGACACGGUUUCAUAUCUGAAGCCGGGAGAGGAGACCCGGUACAAGCAUCCAGACAUUGGGAGGCAAAUCCCCCAUGUAACGCGAGGGUGUGAUGUGGAGCGAACCAAGAGUAGUGAAGUCAGAGGAGAGACCGUCGAGAAAAGCCGCUAUUGUGUGAUACGUGCCCGUACCGUAAACCGACACAGGUGGAUGAGGAGAGAAUCCUAAGGCCGACGGAAGAAGCAUUGUUAAGGAACUCGGCAAAAUGGCCCCGUAACUUCGGGAUAAGGGGUGCCACAGUAAUGUGGCCGCAGAGAAUAGGUCCAAGCAACUGUUUACCAAAAACACAGGUCUAUGCUAAACCGUAAGGUGAUGUAUAUGGGCUGACGCCUGCCCGGUGCCGGAAGGUUAAGGGGAGUGCUUAGCGCAAGCGAAGGUGCGAACUUAAGCCCCGGUAAACGGCGGCCGUAACUAUAACGGUCCUAAGGUAGCGAAAUUCCUUGUCGGGUAAGUUCCGACCCGCACGAAAGGCGUAAUGAUUUGGACGCUGUCUCGACAAUGCAUCCGGUGAAAUUGAAAUACCAGUGAAGAUGCUGGUUACCUGCGCCAGGACGGAAAGACCCCAUGGAGCUUUACUCUAGUUUGGUGCUGGGAUCCGAUACUGUAUGUACAGGAUAGGUGGGAGACUGAGAACUGUGGACGUCAGUCUGCAGGGAGUCGCUGUUGGGAUACCACCCUUGCAGUAUUGGGUUUCUAACUGUCUGCCGUGAUCCGGCAGCAGGACAACGCCAGGCGGGGAGUUUGACUGGGGCGGUCGCCUCCGAAAGGGUAUCGGAGGCGCUCAAAGGUUCCCUCAGGAUGGUCGGAAACCAUCCGGAGAGUGCAAAGGCAUAAGGGAGCUUGACUGCGACACCGACGGGUGGAGCAGGUAGGAAACUAGGACUUAGUGAUCCGGUGGUAUGAAAGUGGGAUUGCCAUCGCUCAACGGAUAAAAGCUACCCUGGGGAUAACAGGCUUAU
RNAcentral lists this ribosomal RNA (2455 nucleotides) under metagenome. RNAcentral describes it as "bacterial LSU rRNA". It matches the Rfam family "Bacterial large subunit ribosomal RNA", at positions 3 to 2486 of the family's 2925-position model. The record is from RNAcentral.